CGCGCAGUACUGCCAGGCAGUGCUGGACGAGAACCCCGCGCAGGUUGCAGAGUACCUCACCAGCGACGCGAACAGACGGACGCGCGU
Molecule: ribosomal RNA, 87 nt
Filed under: uncultured Vannella
Lineage: Eukaryota; Discosea; Flabellinia; Vannellidae
Description: partial Archaeal large subunit ribosomal RNA
Source: RNAcentral